This 497-nucleotide ribosomal RNA is filed under the name uncultured bacterium. Its description in RNAcentral is "partial 16S ribosomal RNA". It matches the Rfam family "Bacterial small subunit ribosomal RNA", at positions 28 to 507 of the family's 1533-position model. The record is from RNAcentral.
GAUGAACGCUGGCGGCGUGCCUAAUACAUGCAAGUCGAGCGAACGGACGAGAAGCUUGCUUUUCUGAUGUUAGCGGCGGACGGGUGAGUAACACGUGGAUAACCUACUUAUAAGACUGGGAUAACUUCGGGAAACAGGAUCUAAUACCGGAGAAUAUUUUGAACCGCUUGGUUCAAAAGUGAAAGACGGUUUUGCUGUCUCUUAUAGAUGGAUCCGCGCUGGAUUAGCUAGUUGGUAAGGUAACGGCUUACCAAGGCAACGAUGCAUAGCCGACAUGAGAGGGUGAUCGGCCACACUGGAACUGAGACACGGUCCAGACUCCUACGGGAGGCAGCAGUAGGGAAUCUUCCGCAAUGGGCGAAAGCCUGACGGAGCAACGCCGCGUGAGUGAUGAAGGUCUUCGGAUCGUAAAACUCUGUUAUUAGGGAAGAACAUAUGUGUAAGUAACUGUGCACAUCUUGACGGUACCUAAUCAAAAAGCCACGGCUAACUACGUG